This 253-nucleotide ribosomal RNA is filed under the name uncultured bacterium. RNAcentral describes it as "partial 16S ribosomal RNA". It matches the Rfam family "Bacterial small subunit ribosomal RNA", at positions 524 to 776 of the family's 1533-position model. The record is from RNAcentral.
UACAGAGGUCCCAAGCGUUGUUCGGAUUCACUGGGCGUAAAGGGUGCGUAGGCGGCGGGGUAAGUUUGAUGUGAAAGCUCCGAGCUUAACUCGGAAAUUGCAUUGAAUACUAUCCUGCUAGAGGGUUGAAGGGGGGACUGGAAUUCUCGGUGUAGCAGUGAAAUGCGUAGAUAUCGGGAAGAACACCCGUGGCGAAGGCGGUUCUCUGGGACGGUACUGACGCUGAGACGCGAAAGCGUGGGGAGCGAACAGG